UUGUUUGCUUGUAUUUGGUUUUCUUGAAAAUAUUUUCAUCAUUUUCCACCAUUUGUUUGGUGGAAAAUAAACUCAAUUUUUUCCAAAACAUGGGAAAAUAAGCCUUCUUUUGGGGAAAAUGUCUUACACUUUUUUAUUCUGUAAGACAUUUUCCAAAAUACGGGAAAAUUUUUCUCUCCUUUCCUCUUCCCCUUCCCCUUCCCCUUCCCUUUCCCCUUCCCGUUGGGUUGCAAAAGAGAAAAAUUUACUGAUAGAAACUAAAGGAAGAGUCUGGAAAAGGCAAUGUUAAACAUAUGUAGCACGAAAGAUUCUCUUUCUUUUAACCUUUUAUUGAAUUUUUUUUUUGUUGAUUCACAAACUGAAAAUUGCAGACAAAAACCAUAGCCAAUAGACAGCGAAAGAUGGAGGAGAGGAGUAGUGUCUCAUGGAAUGCUGCUGUUGUUGGCUCUUCACGCCGUCAACGAAUAUUACCGGCUGCCGUGGAAGCCAUCGGUCACCACCAAUCUUCUCGCCGCCAACACUCUGAUUUAUCUCAGGCCUUCGUUCCUAGAUUUUCUCCUCUCUUUUGUUGAUGAGGUUUGGUUCAAUCCUCAUCUUUUUCUCAAGGUAUCUUAGGCACUUGAAUAUUCCAAAGUUUUCCUUGUUCAUCUGCUGAUUUUGGAUUCUCAUCGUUAAAUUCAAAAAAAAAAAAAGAAAAAAAAGAGAGAAAGGGUAAAAUGAAAAUGGCGUCGGCUCAGGCCUUGCAUUCUUCACGGAAACAAGAGCAUCUAGAAGCUGGGAAGCACCGGUUGGAGGAAUUCCAUAAGAAAAAAACAGCCGAGAAAGCCAAGAAGGCAGAUCUACCUCCCAAACCAAUGUUUUUGAGUUAGCUUAAAUGAAAAACAGCAAUUAGAAUAUCUUUUUGUUAACUUAAAUGAAAAACUCUGCUCAAUCUACCUCUCGAAGCUGAUUGUUGCUAAUGAGAAUAUCUUGGAGAAGAAGCAUGAUUUUUACUCUACCAAAUAGAAUGAGGAUUUUGCUGCUUUGGAGCAAGUAGUCACAUUUUCUAUUUUUAGGGUGCCACUGUGUCCAGGUUUCUAAUAAUUAUUGUGUUUUAUGGUUCAUCCCUUGGGCAAGUUAUACUGCUUGUAAUAACAAUUUCCUUACUAACACAAAUAAACAUUUUUUGAAGUGUACUUUUUUAUGUCUUAGAAA
Molecule: long non-coding RNA, 1194 nt
Organism: Gossypium arboreum
Lineage: Eukaryota; Viridiplantae; Streptophyta; Magnoliopsida; Malvales; Malvaceae
Exons: 3
Source: RefSeq, a predicted model, not a curated record